Molecule: transfer RNA, 73 nt
Filed under: Agrilus planipennis (emerald ash borer)
Lineage: Eukaryota; Metazoa; Arthropoda; Insecta; Coleoptera; Buprestidae
Rfam family: tRNA
About the family: Transfer RNA (tRNA) molecules are approximately 80 nucleotides in length. Their secondary structure includes four short double-helical elements and three loops (D, anti-codon, and T loops).
Source: Rfam by way of RNAcentral
UCUUUUGUAGCUUACUGAUCAGAGCAUUGGAGUGUAAAGCCAAAAGUCCAGGGUUCGAUUCCCGGCGAGAGUG